Molecule: ribosomal RNA, 293 nt
Filed under: Tarentola sp. CR-2012
Lineage: Eukaryota; Metazoa; Chordata; Lepidosauria; Squamata; Phyllodactylidae
Description: partial 12S ribosomal RNA
Source: RNAcentral
ACUCGAAACUCAAAGGACUUGACGGUGUCCCAAACCAACCUAGAGGAGCCUGUCCUAUAAUCGAUAAUCCACGCUUCACCUUACCCCCCCUUGCAAACCAGUCUGUAUACCGCCGUCUUUCAGUUCGUCUUAUGACAGACCCAGAACAAACACAACAGCCCACCACUAAAACGUCAGGUCAAGGUGCAGCCAAUGAGGGGGCAGCGAUGGGCUACAUUUUCUACCACAACAGAACACCACAAACCACCACAUGAAAUAUAGGCCACAAGGCGGAUUUAGCAGUAAGCCAAACA